This 460-nucleotide ribosomal RNA is filed under the name uncultured bacterium. RNAcentral describes it as "partial 16S ribosomal RNA". It matches the Rfam family "Bacterial small subunit ribosomal RNA", at positions 338 to 795 of the family's 1533-position model. The record is from RNAcentral.
CCUACGGGCGGCAGCAGUGAGGAAUAUUGGUCAAUGGACGGGAGUCUGAACCAGCCAAGUAGCGUGAAGGAUGAAUGCCCUAUGGAUUGUAAACUUCUUUUAUAUGGGAAUAAAAUGUUCCACGUGUGGGAUUUUGUGUGUACCAUAUGAAUAAGGAUCGGCUAACUCCGUGCCAGCAGCCGCGGUAAUACGGAGGAUCCGAGCGUUAUCCGGAUUUCUUGGGUUUAAAGGGAGCGUAGGAGGAUUGUUAAGUCAGUGGGGAAAGUUUGCGGGUCAACCGUAAGAUGGCAGUUGAAACUGGCAGUCUUGAGUACAGUAGAGGUGUGCGGAAUGCGUGGUGUAGCGGUGAAAUGCUUAGAUAUCACGAAGAACUCCGAUUGCGAAGGCAGCAUACUGGACUGCAACUGACACUGAGGCUCGAAAGUGUGGGUAUCAAACAGGAUUAGAUACCCUGGUAGUC